This 253-nucleotide ribosomal RNA is filed under the name uncultured bacterium. RNAcentral describes it as "partial 16S ribosomal RNA". It matches the Rfam family "Bacterial small subunit ribosomal RNA", at positions 524 to 776 of the family's 1533-position model. The record is from RNAcentral.
UACGAAGGGGGCUAGCGUUGCUCGGAAUCACUGGGCGUAAAGCGCACGUAGGCGGAUCUUUAAGUCAGGGGUGAAAUCCUGGAGCUCAACUCCAGAACUGCCUUUGAUACUGGGGAUCUCGAGUCCGGGAGAGGUGAGCGGAACUGCGAGUGUAGAGGUGAAAUUCGUAGAUAUUCGCAAGAACACCAGUGGCGAAGGCGGCUCACUGGCCCGGUACUGACGCUGAGGUGCGAAAGCGUGGGGAGCAAACAGG